Molecule: long non-coding RNA, 1815 nt
Filed under: Dermacentor andersoni
Lineage: Eukaryota; Metazoa; Arthropoda; Arachnida; Ixodida; Ixodidae
Description: uncharacterized LOC126540714
Source: RNAcentral
GACGACCUGUAGUGGCGACUAGCAAUCGCUUGUUGGCAAAUUUUCAGCUGUAACAUAAAAAAUCGCUGCCGAAGCUUUGAGGGCAGUUCCCGUGUUCCUCGAUCUGGAAAACUUGGAACUGUUGUUAAAGGUUGUAAUGCAAAGUACAAUAUCUUCAUGAGAUUGCUGUAGGAGGGACAUUGAACAAAUACAUGUGAUGGGAAUAGCAGAUCGAGGAGCCAUUUUGACCGAUUGCAAUGGAUUUAGGCACCGUGGAAGACGCUGGUGUGGUGCCGCCAUGUGGGGAUAUAGGUUGGCGGGAAAUGUGAUGAACAAGUAUACCAUUCCUGAAUGACAGUGAUGUGGAAUGUAUUAGCUCUAACUGAUGGUUCUUUGACGAUACACGGAUGCUGUUUUGCUCUGGGAAGAUUCUUAAUUUGCACAUUUUUUUUUUCUAGUCAUGUCCGAGCCGACCGGUCACGAAAGGCCUGGCUUGGUGCACGGCAUGGCCUACUCAUCGUGGCUGCUGCGGCGUCGCGAUUCUGGCUGAAUAAUGAGUAUCAAGGGCUUCCACAGUACUGCAAGCAAGGAGGGAGUUUUCCCCAUCGCAAUGCUACAAUUGUGUCAACAGUAUUUUGGAACUUCUGCCAAUAGCCUGCAGUCUUGGAGGCUUAUAGAAGACACAAACACUGAGCUUCUGGUGCUGUCAAAUUGCAGCAACUGGUAAGGGCAUAUGCUUUCUUUAGUAUGCUAUCCAAUUGUGAUGACUUAUUUGCUACUGCUGAACUUAAUGUGGAAAAUGUUGUGCUGAUCCUGUGCCCUAAUGUUUUUUCUGUAUGCUUACUGCAUUAACUGAUACCAGCCAUCUUUGCAGAUGUUCGGAAUGGACUUCAUCCUGUUCCACACUGAUGCAUGGUACACAUCUCAAACCUGGAGGCUCUGCAAGUCUGGGUGAGUGCUUUUGCACAGUGCAAUUUCGUCUUGGCUUUCACUGAUGAUUACCCUCCAAUACUUAUGUUUAUGAGGACCUUCACCAAGAUCUCUGAGAUGCCCUUAGGCUUGCUUAAUUGGCUUGCCCUUUUCUUUGUUAUUCAGAUUUACUUUUUCAUUUUAGGUUGAUGUGCAAGCAGUAGAGUCCUGCCACAUUCAUUGGUAAGUUUAUAGUAUGGAGGUUUGCAGUGAUUCAUUUAGGGUUUCAGUUGGAGUGGUGCAAAAGAUGGGGACUGCCCUCCCUUCUGCAGUGUUUCAAAUUAAAGGGACACUUCAAAUCGCAAUGCAUACAUUUCCUUAAAAUUUGUUCCAUUUGGUGGAAAAUUCAUGAAAGAUAAAAGCGAGUUUAAAUUAUUCAAUACCGUGCUAGAACUAGUACAGUGGGCUCAAGUGACAAACUUUCUGGGUUGAGUGGUUCCUUUCUAACACUGUUAGAUCCACUGUUACGUCUGGUGUCGUGGCUAGCCGGUGCAGGAACAGUUUGGCAUUGCCUCCCAUCUAUUGUGUACUAGCCUGCCCAGUUUGUUGGUGACCACAAUACAAUUGCUGUGUAAAUUACUAAUUCAACAAAUGUGUCCCUUUAAGGGUAAUUUUUGUCUCAUGGUGUUCACAUGAUGUUGCUUGAGUAUUUGCUACACUGAGAGAGCAAUGUGGAGAAAUGUUUUUCUGAUCAAAUUUGUGGCGCAUAUUUUUGGCAUUUCUGGUUUUAUUUUCCUUUGACAUUACUACUUAAUUUCCAGGUGCCUCCUGGACACAUGCAUUUAGGAAAGGUAAGGAGGAUUCCGGACAUCGUGCUCGUCUAUGAAUUGAAUAAAAUAUGUAGCAACGUUGCAACUGAACUGUCAU